GAGUUUGAUCGUGGCUCAGACUGAACGCUGGCGGCAUGCCUAACACAUGCAAGUCGAACGGCAGCGCGGGUAGCAAUACCUGGCGGCGAGUGGCGGACGGGUGAGGAAUACAUCGGAAUCUACCCUGUCGUGGGGGAUAACCAACCGAAAGGUUGGCUAAUACCGCAUACGACCGAGAGGUGAAAGCGGAGGACCGCAAGGCUUCGCGCGAUUGGAUGAGCCGAUGUCGGAUUAGCUAGUUGGCGGGGUAAGAGCCCACCAAGGCGACGAUCCGUAGCUGGUCUGAGAGGAUGAUCAGCCACACUGGGACUGAGACACGGCCCAGACUCCUACGGGAGGCAGCAGUGGGGAAUAUUGGACAAUGGGCGCAAGCCUGAUUCAGCAAUGCCGCGUGUGUGAAG
This 401-nucleotide ribosomal RNA is filed under the name uncultured Gammaproteobacteria bacterium. Its description in RNAcentral is "bacterial SSU rRNA". It matches the Rfam family "Bacterial small subunit ribosomal RNA", at positions 9 to 410 of the family's 1533-position model. The record is from RNAcentral. Lineage: Bacteria; Pseudomonadati; Pseudomonadota; Gammaproteobacteria.